Long non-coding RNA from Dromiciops gliroides (monito del monte), 530 nucleotides. RefSeq lists it as uncharacterized. NCBI's taxonomy places the organism in Eukaryota, Metazoa, Chordata, Mammalia, Microbiotheria, Microbiotheriidae. The record is from RefSeq and is a predicted model, not a curated record. The transcript has 3 exons.
AUCAAUCACCAGCCGGCAGCCGGGUGAGGAGCGUGCCUUUGAAGAGAGAGGAUCGUGGUUCCUUAGGGCUGGAGGGGAACUCAGGCGUCGGGUCCAGUUUCCUCAUUUUUACGGACGAGGAAACUGAGUCCCGAAGAGAAAAGAGACUUGUAUCAUCAUCAUAAAUAAUAAUAAUAAACUGAGUCCUAAAGAGAAGUGACUUGUAUUAUAAUAACAAACUGAAUCCCGAAGAGAAAAGUGACAUAUGAUGAGGAAGAUGAGGAUGAGGAUGAUGAGUAUGGAAAAGAAAAGUGACAGGAAGUAAAUAUGUUCCCUCAUUUGAUCCUCACAACAGUUGUGGGAGGAAGCCUCUCAAGUGAUGUAUAUGAUAUCCACUUGACAUCUUGAAUGAAGGACAUAAUAAUCAGAUUUAAUCCCUUUUCACACAAAAAAGGAAAUAAUUGGAUCCAGAGGGGUUUUAGCAUAUCUUUAUUAUCAUUAUUUUCUAGUGGAAAUCUUUUUAAAAAUAUGAAAAGAGAAAAGGUGCAUCC